GAUGGAUGUUUCUGAAAGACCUCUGACGGAGCUGCCAGUGAAGUUACAAAGGGACAGACAGUCAGGAGAUGUCAUUUUCUGUUGUCGUAAAGAGAAGCGCUCUUCAUGAGGCAGUCUAUUGCAUCCGCAGAGACUCCAGCGGCUUUCUUUCACAACCAAGGACUCGGAUCUCAGGAGACGUUUAAAGGCAAAAAGCUGAACGGAGGAUUUAAAAAGAGAGUGUGAUGAGUCUGAGCUACAGAUGGACAUCAAGGACACACACAUGCGGACAAGGACGAUGCAGCAUUCAGUGAAUGUGUCUUCAGAGGAUCGUACAGAGAGUGUAGAGGUUUCUCGAGGAUGUUAUCAAACACUCACACAGGAUGAGAGGUGCUCUGGGUUCAGGAGACGGCAGACAGAAGCUGACCAAACAUCUCUGGGUCGGAGAGGUUCAGACGAGAAGCACUUCCACAGAAAGUUAAAGGACGUGUCGGGGUUUUCAGAAUAAACAGAUGUGGAGGAUUUGCUGCUCUUUCCACAAUAUUUUGCCAGUGUAAUUGGAUUAGAGAUGCAGAUUUUGAUAAAACAAAAAUGUUACAUCUUAGAGGCUGUUAGACAUCUUAAGGCAAGACAGCACCGUUAGAAAGUAAUAGAUAUCACCAUAAUUCUGUAGUUAAUUAAUCACAGUAAGACUUUAAAGCUUUUAGAAAUGUUAUUUCUAAAUAUGCAAAUAAGGCAUUAUCUAAUUAUAAGUGCACUAUUUAAAAAAAAAAAAAAAAAAUUCAUUUCUGGAAAUCUGCACAUUGGAUAAAGCCAGGUUCAAAAUGUGCAUUAUUUUAUUGACAUUUUAAAGGUCUUUACACAGGGGGUUUCUUUUCAU
Onychostoma macrolepis is the source of this 859-nucleotide long non-coding RNA. RefSeq lists it as uncharacterized. NCBI's taxonomy places the organism in Eukaryota, Metazoa, Chordata, Actinopteri, Cypriniformes, Cyprinidae. The transcript has 3 exons. The record is from RefSeq and is a predicted model, not a curated record.